Long non-coding RNA from Etheostoma cragini (Arkansas darter), 236 nucleotides. RefSeq lists it as uncharacterized. NCBI's taxonomy places the organism in Eukaryota, Metazoa, Chordata, Actinopteri, Perciformes, Percidae. The transcript is spliced from 3 exons. The record is from RefSeq and is a predicted model, not a curated record.
GAAGUUGGAGAAAAUGAAAAUACUUAAUUAAAAGUAACUUACAGUUGUAUUGAAGUACGACAUAGUUACUUUCCACAGCUGAUAAAAUGCAGUGAUAUUAUGUGUAACUAGCCUAAACAUUAAUUCCAGACAUGUUUCUAUCUGCCCGCAUGUCGGACACACUGCUGUCCACGCUGACGUACCGUCACCUGUUGGGACAGGGAUGUUGUCCCUACCUUCACAUGUUAGGACACAGA